ACUGGUCAUGGUGGCUUGUGCCUGUAGUUCCAGCUACUUGGGAGGCAGAGGUAGGAAGAUUGCUUGAGUUCAGGAGUUCUGGGCUGUAGUGCACUAUGCCAACUGGUUGUCUGCACUAAGUUCAGCAUCAAUAUGGUGACCUCACAGGAGUGAAGAACCACCAGGUUGCCUAAGGAGGGGUGAAUCAGCCCAGAUUGGAAAUAGAGCAGAUGAAAAUUCCCAUGCUGAUCAGUAGUGGGAUGGCAACUGUGAAUAGCCACUGCACUCCAGCCUGUGCAACGUGGUAAGACCCUGUCUCU
This 299-nucleotide signal recognition particle RNA is filed under the name Aotus nancymaae (Ma's night monkey). RNAcentral describes it as "Metazoan signal recognition particle RNA (ENSANAG00000002127.1)". It matches the Rfam family "Metazoan signal recognition particle RNA". Rfam says of the family: The signal recognition particle (SRP) is a universally conserved ribonucleoprotein. Lineage: Eukaryota; Metazoa; Chordata; Mammalia; Primates; Aotidae. The record is from RNAcentral.